RNAcentral lists this ribosomal RNA (484 nucleotides) under uncultured bacterium. Its description in RNAcentral is "partial 16S ribosomal RNA". It matches the Rfam family "Bacterial small subunit ribosomal RNA", at positions 30 to 507 of the family's 1533-position model. The record is from RNAcentral.
AUUGAACGCUGGCGGCAGGCCUAACACAUGCCAGUCGAGCGGAUGAAGGGAGCUUGCUCCUGGAUUCAGCGGCGGACGGGUGAGUAAUGCCUAGGAAUCUGCCUGGUAGUGGGGGAUAACGUCCGGAAACGGGCGCUAAUACCGCAUACGUCCUGAGGGAGAAAGUGGGGGAUCUUCGGACCUCACGCUAUCAGAUGAGCCUAGGUCGGAUUAGCUAGUUGGUGGGGUAAAGGCCUACCAAGGCGACGAUCCGUAACUGGUCUGAGAGGAUGAUCAGUCACACUGGAACUGGAACACGGUCCAGACUCCUACGGGAGGCAGCAGUGGGGAAUAUUGGACAAUGGGCGAAAGCCUGAUCCAGCCAUGCCGCGUGUGUGAAGAAGGUCUUCGGAUUGUAAAGCACUUUAAGUUGGGAGGAAGGGCAGUAAGUUAAUACCUUGCUGUUUUGACGGUACCAACAGAAUAAGCACCGGCUAACUUCGUG